RNAcentral lists this ribosomal RNA (482 nucleotides) under uncultured bacterium. RNAcentral describes it as "partial 16S ribosomal RNA". It matches the Rfam family "Bacterial small subunit ribosomal RNA", at positions 29 to 506 of the family's 1533-position model. The record is from RNAcentral.
UUGAACGCUGGCGGCAUGCCUUACACGUGCAAGUCGAACGGCAGCACGGGAGCAAUCCUGGUGGCGAGUGGCGAACGGGUGAGUAAUACAUCGGAACGUACCUGAUAGUGGGGGAUAGCCCGGCGAAAGCCGGAUUAAUACCGCAUACGACCUGAGGGUGAAAGCGGGGGAUCGCAAGACCUCGCGCUAUUGGAGCGGCCGAUGGCAGAUUAGGUAGUUGGUGGGGUAAAGGCCUACCAAGCCUACGAUCUGUAGCUGGUUUGAGAGGACGACCAGCCACACUGGGACUGAGACACGGCCCAGACUCCUACGGGAGGCAGCAGUGGGGAAUUUUGGACAAUGGGCGCAAGCCUGAUCCAGCCAUGCCGCGUGCGGGAAGAAGGCCUUCGGGUUGUAAAGCUCUUUCAGACGGAAAGAAAUCGGGCGGGUGAAUAGCCUGCCUGGAUGACGGUACUGUCAGAAGAAGCACCGGCUAACUACGU